RNAcentral lists this long non-coding RNA (910 nucleotides) under Numida meleagris (helmeted guineafowl). Its description in RNAcentral is "lncRNA (ENSNMEG00000008314.1)". Lineage: Eukaryota; Metazoa; Chordata; Aves; Galliformes; Numididae. The record is from RNAcentral.
AGCAUCAACCACUCCAUCAAGCAGGAGGCUUGAAGAGCAGAUUGGUCAACUCCAUCAUCACAAAGCAUAAUCAAAAGAGAUAUAGAGCUCUACAGCUGAAGGAACUGCAGGAAAGACAUGAAAUUCAGACUCACAGAGAAGCACUGACUCCCCAGGGAGGUGACUCCUGUAGUAGUAACAAGUCUCAGCCUACAGUCGUCAUCUGUUUCUCCUGAUUGCAGGAAAAGCUUUGAAAUGGCAGUGGUACAGGAGAAGCUUCUGCCCCUGGGUCAGAACCAAAUGAUAACCUCAUUUCAACACAUUGUACGCUGCUGGAAAAGAAACCCUCGAUGCAUGUACAGACUAGAGGAUGAGAAGCUGAAGACCAGUCCCACAGAAAAUGGUUUGGGGGUUGAUCACAAGCUAAAUAUGAAUCAGCAGUGUGCCCUGACAGACAAAAGUACCAACCACACCCUGCAACGUAUCACGCUCAGCUUUGCUAGAUGGUCAAGUGAAGGUAUCUUCACUGAGUACAUAGUUGGUCACUUUGGACAAUGCUCUCAGAAAUAGGGCUUGAAUUUUGAGUGAUUCUGUGUGGAGCCAGGAGUUCAAUUUGAUGACUGAGUCUCUUCUACCUCUAGUUACUCUAUGAUGCUAUGUUUCUCUCUCAAGGAUAAAGACAUGAAACAAGGGACUAGAAGCUUUUAUACAGACAAGUGAGUGUCACUUUGGGAGCCUUGGUUUGAGUCAUGCUAGUUGAUCGUAGGUUUGGCUGCCUGGUUUACCUGGGCAAGACUUGUGACGUAAGCCUGAUACAGUAUUGAAAUACUGUUUGGUUAAAGUUUCAGAAGGUGAAGGUCAAUACAUCUAUGGAAGAAAUAUCUUAAGGAAGAGGAGAGGAGAGGAGAGGAGAGGAGAGGAGAGGAGAGGA